CCUACGGGUGGCUGCAGUGGGGAAUAUUGCUCAAUGGGCGAAACCCUGAUCCAGCAACGCCGCGUGAGUGAAGGAGUAUUUCGGUAUGUAAAGCUCUUUCAGUAGGGAAGAAGAAAGACGGUACCUGACUAAGAAGCCCCGGCUAACUACGUGCCAGCAGCCGCGGUAAUACGUAAGGGGCAAGCGUUAUCCGGAUUUACUGGGUGUAAAGGGAGCGUAGACGGCUGUGCAAGUCUGAAGUGAAAGACCGGGGCUCAACCGCCGAACUGCUUUUGAAACUGUAUGGCUUGAGUAGGGGAGAGGCAGGCGGAAUGCCUAGUGGAGCGGUGAAAUGCGUAGAUAUUAGGAGGAACACCAGUGGCGAAGGCGGCCUGCUGGACAGAAACUGACGUUGAGGCUCGAAAGCGUGGGGAGCAAACAGGAUUAGAUACCCCUGUAGUC
RNAcentral lists this ribosomal RNA (441 nucleotides) under uncultured bacterium. RNAcentral's name for it is "partial 16S ribosomal RNA". It matches the Rfam family "Bacterial small subunit ribosomal RNA", at positions 338 to 795 of the family's 1533-position model. The record is from RNAcentral.